Molecule: ribosomal RNA, 253 nt
Filed under: uncultured bacterium
Lineage: Bacteria
Description: partial 16S ribosomal RNA
Rfam family: Bacterial small subunit ribosomal RNA
Source: RNAcentral
GACGAAGGGGGCUAGCGUUGUUCGGAAUUACUGGGCGUAGAGCGCGUGUAGGCGGUUGUUCAAGUCAGGUGUGAAAGCCUUGAGCUCAACUCAAGAAAUGCACUUGAUACUGGAUGACUAGAGGACCGGAGAGGAUAGUGGAAUUCCCAGUGUAGUGGUGAAAUACGUAGAGAUUGGGAAGAACACCAGUGGCGAAGGCGGCUAUCUGGACGGUUUCUGACGCUAAGACGCGAAAGCGUGGGGAGCAAACAGG